Molecule: non-coding RNA, 29 nt
Filed under: Gallus gallus (chicken)
Lineage: Eukaryota; Metazoa; Chordata; Aves; Galliformes; Phasianidae
Also listed under: 1 other name
Source: RNAcentral
GGGGAACCUGCGGUUGGAUCACCUCCUUA